UCUCUGUUGGUCUAGUGGUUAGGAUUUAGCAUUUUCACUGCUGUAACCUGGGUUCGAUUCCCAGACAGGGAA
This is a non-coding RNA of Chelonoidis abingdonii (Abingdon island giant tortoise), 72 nucleotides long. NCBI's taxonomy places the organism in Eukaryota, Metazoa, Chordata, Testudines, Testudinidae. The record is from the annotation of a RefSeq genome assembly.